ACGUAGGAGACAAACGUUAUCCGGAGUUACUGGGCGUAAAGGGCGUGUAGGUGGUUGUGUAAGUUCGGCGUGAAAUCUCUCGGCUUAACCGGGAGUGGUCGUCGGAUACUGCACGACUAGAGGACGGUAGAGGCGUGUGGAAUUCCGGGUGUAGUGGUGAAAUGCGUAGAGAUCCGGAGGAACACCAGUGGCGAAGGCGACACGCUGGGCCGUACCUGACACUGAGGCGCGAUAGCAUGGGGAGCAAACAGGA
RNAcentral lists this ribosomal RNA (253 nucleotides) under uncultured prokaryote. RNAcentral's name for it is "partial 16S ribosomal RNA". It matches the Rfam family "Bacterial small subunit ribosomal RNA", at positions 525 to 777 of the family's 1533-position model. The record is from RNAcentral.